This is an RNA transcript of Pan troglodytes (chimpanzee), 6377 nucleotides long. It is a transcript of the gene named centrosomal protein 72, with no coding region annotated. The transcript is spliced from 13 exons. The record is from RefSeq and is a predicted model, not a curated record. Lineage: Eukaryota; Metazoa; Chordata; Mammalia; Primates; Hominidae.
GCCCGCCGCGCAGGCGCCGUCCGAGGGCUCCGUUUGAAACAUGGCGCGGGCUGGCCCUCGGCUGGUGCUGAGCGAGGAGGCGGUUCGGGCGAAGAGCGGCUUAGGGCCUCACCGCGACCUGGCUGAGCUUCGGUCAUUGUCUAUUCCUGGAACUUACCAAGAGAAGAUCACCCACCUGGGACAUUCUCUGAUGAGUUUAACAGGUCUGAAAUCUUUGGAUCUCUCGCGCAACUCCUUGGUUAGUCUGGAGGGCAUUCAGUACCUGACUGCGUUGGAGAGUCUCAAUCUCUACUACAACUGCAUCUCCUCGUUGGCAGAAGUGUUUCGGCUCCACGCCUUAACCGAGCUCGUGGACGUGGACUUCCGGCUGAACCCCGUGGUGAAGGUUGAGCCUGACUACCGCCUUUUUGUUGUGCACCUGCUCCCCAAGCUCCAGCAGCUGGACGAUCGCCCCGUGAGAGAGAGCGAGCGGAAGGCUUCCCGACUGCAUUUUGCAUCAGAGGACUCACUCGACUCCAAAGAGAGCGUCCCAGCUUCUUUGAAAGAGGGCAGACCGCACCACCCCAGAGCCAAGUGCACCGAGGCCUUGGCCAAGCAGAGCCUGGUCAUGGAUGCGGAUGACGAGGCAGUCCUGAACCUCAUAGCAGAGUGCGAGUGGGACCUCGGCAGGCCUCCCGGGAGCACGAGCUUCAGCCAGAAGGGGCGUGAGGCCGACUCUCGUGGUUCCCAAGAAUCCAGACAUCUGUUGAGCCCGCAGUUGGUACAGUACCAGUGUGGGGACUCCGGGAAGCAGGGCCGUGAGACGAGGAGGAGCAGCUGCAGAGGGUGCUGUCUGGAGAAGACGCCUUGGAGCCAGCUCUGUGGAGAGCUUCCGCCACCCUAUGGAGCGGAGCCGGAGGCCUCCCGUGCCCCCGGGCCACACGCGUACUUCACCCCACACCCAGACUCCGUGGAUACCGAGGACUUGGCCUCUUCUCAGAAGUUGGAUUUGUCAGCAGAAAUGGUGCCUGGUCCCCUGCCAGCCCCCGGAAAGUGCAGGAAGCGAAGAAUGCCUGUUGGAAGAUUCCAGACGUUUUCGGACCAGGAGGGUUUGGGCUGCCUGGAGAGAACUCAUGGGUCCUCCGUGCCCGAGGAGAGCCUGAGCAGACAGGACAGCUCAGAAAGCAGGAACGGGAGGACCUUGUCUCAGCCUGAGGCCUCGGAGACUGAGGAGCAGAGGUCUCGGGGUGUGACCGACACCAGAGAGCCGUCUCCCGGGUCACACUCGGCUCUACCCGGGAAGAAGACGGCCCUGCAGGCGGCGCUCCUGGAGACGCUCUUGGACCUGGUGGACAGGAGCUGGGGCGGCUGCAGGUCCCUGCACAGCAACGAGGCAUUCCUUGCUCAGGCAAGACACAUCUUGUCAUCUGUUGAAGAAUUCACAGCAGCUCAGGACAGCUCUGCGAUGGUGGGUGAAGAUGUCGGCUCCCUGGCUCUGGAGAGUAAGUCCCUGCAAAGCCGCCUUGCUGAGCAGCAGCAGCAGCACGCCCGGGAGAUGAGCGAGGUGACGGCGGAGCUGCACUGCACACACAAGGAGCUGGUGAGCCCGCCCUGGCACUGUGUCUGUGUCCAUGUGACUGGGGGAAACAUGGCUCUGACUUCCGGGAAUGAGGGCAGCUCCUUGAUGCCACACUGUCCCAACCGCCAUCUCUGCAGCCCCAUGUCUCCACUCCCUGCCCGGGACCCGGCCACCCCCAGGAAUGCGGCCUGCCCUGUCUCACAACAGGCCUGGAGCACUUUGGAGACAGCAGUGGCACUGGCCACCUUCUCUCCCCGGGCCCAAGGGACCCUCCACCACUGGGCAGUGCCGGGUGCUGCAGGAGCCAGGCCUGGAUGUGACUUUGUCUUGCUGACCCAUCUCUCAGGGCCUCGAACUGGGGAAAACUGAGGCCACUCUCCUUUUAUGAAGGAGAUGACGGCCAGUGUCUCAUGGUGAGCUGGGGCUACAGGGCAAGUUACCCCAAAACCAGCAGCUGAAAACCUGCAUUUAUCACCUUGGAUUUCUGUGUGUUGGGCCUCAGGCUCAGCUCAGCCAGGCUCCCUCCUUCCGUCUCAGCCGUGGGCCGGGGCCGCCGUCUCAUCUGAGGCCUCAUGGGGGCUCCGUCUCAGCCGUGGGCUGGGGCCACCGUCUCAUCUGAGGCCUCACGGGACAGGAUCCUCCCAGGCUCCCUCCACGCUGCAAGGGCCUCCCCACGGGCUGCUGGCAUCCUUAGCACAGGGAGCUGGUGGUCAGAGAGCCACACCCAGGCAGAAGCCGCCCUCCGGGAGUCCUGGUGUGAGGGCAGAGCCACGUGAGGAUGUGCACACCCAGAGGGGCCUUGUCAGCAUCUGUAAAAUGGGAGUGAAGUCGGCCCGGGACGGCUUCGAAAACUGCCUCUGAACUUGUCUGACAAGUACAUACUGUCUGUUUCAUGGGAACCAACAUCUCAGAGAUCCCACACAACGCUUCCUCUUUAGAGAAGAAAAAACACAGCAAAACAACACAGGCAGCCUCUGUUUAAACGCACGUGGCCCCCCCACCCCGUCUGGAAGCCUCUGCACGUGGCCUUCAUCUGGAAGCCUCUGUAUUUAAACACAUGUGGGCCGCCUCCAUCUGGAAGCCUCUAUAUUUAAACACACGUGGGUCCCCAUCCCCCAUCCAGAAGCCUCUGCAUUUAAACACAUGUCCCCCCGUCCAGAAGUCUCUGCAUUUAAAUACACAUGGCCCCCCAUCCAGAAGUCUUUGUGUUUAAACACACAUGCCCCCGCCAUCCCCCAUCCAGAAGCCUCUGCAUUUAAGCACACGUGGUCCCCCGUCUAGAAACCUGUGCAUUUAAACACACGUGGUCCCCCGUCUAGAAGCCUCUGCUUUUAAACCAACGUGGCCCCUCCUCUGGAAGCCUCUAUAUUUAAACACACGUGGCCCCUCAUCUGGUGGAAGCCUCUGGAUUUAAGCACACAUGGCCCCUUCUCUGGAAGCCUCUAUAUUUAAACACGUGUGGCCCCCUGUCUGGAAGCCUUUAUACUGAAACACACAUGACCGGCUGUCUGGAAAGUGAACUGGGCGUCGUCACUGAUGAUGUCUUUUCUGUGGGACACAGUCAGGCACACCCCUUGCCCUUCUGAGCCUGGGACGAGACAGAGCUGACAGGCGGAGCCCAAAGGUGUGCCGAGCACCAGUGCCUCCAGGGGUGGGAGUCACAUGCAGCUGUGGCUGCUGUGGACGCCUGCUUUUUCGCCCUCUGCAGUUUGCCUAAUCCCUGCAGUUUGCAGGCAGCCCUGGGCCUCUGGACAGAGCAGCCCUGGUUCCCUGUCAGGGUGAGUGAUCAGGAAGAAUCUGGCAGCCCGAGCCCCGCGGGUAAGGAGCAGUCAGCACCGUCAGGAACCCCGCGGAGGGAGCAGCCGUGCAGGCUGGUGGGCACUGCUUUCCAGGGAGGCCCACAUCUGUCACUCCAGAAGCACCCAAGUUUACUCUGCCACGUGAGGACGCUCAUCCCUCGGUCACAUGAACCUAGACCUUGCUUCCUUUGGAAGCUGCAGUCGGGUGUCCUGAGGCAAGGUGGCCCCACUUCCAGCUGCUGUGCCUGGCACAGCCUCUGAGGCAGAUGGGCUGCGCCCAGCUUGGGUGCAGUCGGUCCUCGGUUCCCUGCACCUGUCGUGGCCUAGACUCCAAAACAUAAAAAAUUAGGCGUGGUGGCACACUCCUGUCAUCCCAGCUAUUUUGGGAGGUAGAGGCAGGAGGCUCAGGAGUUGGGGGCUGCAGUGAGCUGUGAUUGCUCCACUGCCCUCUAGUUUGUGCGACAGAGUGAGACUUUGCCUCAAAGAAACAAAUGAAAAAGAGCUGGGAGCUCACAGCCCUGCCUUAAGAGCUCACCGCAUCCUUGGGAGGCAAAACCGUGAGACGUGGCACUGCCAGGAGCUUUCUGGACGACCCAAAGCACUGCGCGGAGGGCAGGUCGUGCUGGUUGGCGCCACUGCAGCAGACACCUUGGGGAGAAGGCCGCGAAAUGAAGAACGGGCCAAGAUAAGCCUGAGGGGAAUGGUCUCAGACCCAGCGAUCAGCUUUCACCAUGGGCGUCGGGGGCCUGGCGGGCGCAUGCAUGCUGAGGGGGCUGUCGGCGGGUGGGCUCACUGAGCGGAGAAGGAUGAAGUGGCGAUACCGCCAGCACGAGGCUUCUGCUGCACAGACUCAGGCGCUCCCUCCCCUGGUGGCAGUGAGCUGGGGCCUGCUCAGCACCCCCGGCCCCAGGAUGUGCCUGCUGGUGCCUGAGAGAGCAGCAGCCAGGAUGAUUUGAGACAACAUUUAGAUAAAUCUUUGGAAGAGAACAGUAGGUUAAAAUCGCUUUUGUUGAGUAUGAAAAAGGAAGUGAAGAGUGCAGACACUGCAGCCACGUUAAAUUUGCAGAUCGCUGGACUUCAAACAAGUGUGAAGAGGCUGUGUGGCGAGAUUGUGGAACUGAAACAGCACCUGGAGCACUACGACAAGAUCCAGGAGCUCACGCAGAUGCUGCAGGAGAGCCACAGCUCCCUGGUCAGCACCAAUGAACACCUGCUGCAGGAGCUGAGCCAGGUGCGGGCGCAGCACAGAGCCGAGGUGGAGCAGAUGCACUGGAGCUACCAGGAGCUCAAGAAGACCAUGGCCCUGUUUCCACACAGCAGCGCCAGCCAUGGAGGCCGCCAGGCCUGCUGACUCCUGCCGAGAAGCUGGGCCACCCCUUAAGCUUCCUGGUUUACUAGAAAUUCCCAACUGUUCCAAAGUGGUGGUACCCGCAGGCCCGACUGCUAGUUGUGUAUGACCACGGCUGCCGGUCCAUGUUUUCAGCACCCAUUGCCUGAAGUGUUAGCACCUUCACUCCGGUGGGUGUGGGGUAGUGGAGGGAGUGGGGUGGUGGAGGGCGUGGGGUGGCGGAGGGCGCGGGGUGGCGCGGGGUGGGGUAGACCUCUUUCUGGUUUCAUUGGCUUCUCCUUGUUCAGCACCUUCUCAUGUGUCUGCGGCUCAUCGGGAUUUCCUGUUUGUAAAGUACCUAUUCAAGUAUUUUCCCUACUUUUCUAUUGGAUGGUCUGUCUCAUUUAUUUGCAGGUGUUAUUUAUGAUUCUGGGUAGUAGUGCUUUGUGAAUUACAUUUGCAAAUAGCUUUUCUUGUCUUUUUACUUUAAUGGUGUCUUUUAAGAGAAAUUUUAAACUUUAAUAUGGCCCAAUGUAUCAAUAUUUUCUUUCAUGAUUAAAGCAUUUUGGAUCCUAAUUUUUAAUAAUCUUUACUUUGCCUUGAACAUAAAGAUACUCUGUUACCUUCCAAAGGAUUUUAUAGUUUUGUAUAUUUUGGAUUUUAGAUAUAGAUUCUACCCAGAAUUGAUUUUUGCGCCUGUUGUGAAGCUUAAGGAUCCAGUUUCAUUGUGUUGCAGACAUAAGCCCAGUUUUCCCAGUCCCGGCUGCUGAAGAUUCCUUUGUCAGGAUGAUCUCUGUGUCCGUUUCUGCAUCUCCUUGUCUGUCUCUGCCAAUACCACACACUCUGGGGCGCGUACCUCCAUCUUAUGUUAGGAUGUCUUGGCUGUUUUUGACCCUUUGUGUUUCAUACAUUUUAGAACUAGCCGGUUGAGUUGGGAUUUUGUUUGGGAUUGUAUUGAACCUGUAGAUCAACUUGGGAAUCUUUGACAUACUUGCAAUACUGGGUUUUACAAGCCCUGAACAUGGUAUCUGUCUCUCCAAAUGUUAGGGCUCCUUCAGCGGGUGUUAAUACAGCCUGAUACUUUUCACAAUGGUCUUGUAUGUCUUUUGUUACAUUUAAUCCUAGGUCCUUGUUAUUUUGCGAUGCUGUUUUAAAAAAUGUGCUUGGAUUUCAUUUUCCUAAUUAUGUGUUGCCAUUUCAUGGAAAUUCAUUUUUGUGUAUUAAUUUGUAUCUGGCAGUCUAGUAAUUUUAAUCAUUUGCCUGUAGCUGUUUCCUCAUUUUUAGGCACACAGUCAUGUUUUCUAUGAGUAAUGGGUUUUCUUUCCCAUUCCUGUUGUUCUGGAUUUUUACUUUAUGUUUUUAUUUUUGUUUUGUUUUUUGCUUUUCUACACUGGUCGGAACCCCUAGUGCAGUGCUGAUUAGAGGUGGUAAAAGAGUGGGCAUCGUUGUCUUCUUCCUGAUAUUCAAAGGGGUGAUAAAUUCUCACCAUUUAUCCACUCACUUGUAAUAGAUUUUUUUUGUUUGUUUUAAAGCUUUUUCUAUCAAUAAUUCGCCUCAAGAAUGGAUGACUUUUAUCACUUUUUCUGCAGUGAUUGAGAUGACCACGAUUUUUAUCAUUUAAUAUAUUGAUGUGUUUAACGACCAUAAUUUGCUUUUGUUAAAAAUAAACCUUGAAUUUCUGAGAUAAGUCCAA